ACACGGCCCGGACUCCUACGGGAGGCAGCAGUAGGGAAUUUUCGACAAUGGGCGCAAGCCUGAUCCAGCCAUGCCGCGUGUGUGAAGAAGGCCCUAGGGUUGUAAAGCACUUUCAGCAGGGAGGAAAAGCGUAGCGUUAAUAUCGCUACGUGCUGACGUUACCUGCAGAAGAAGCACCGGCUAACUCCGUGCCAGCAGCCGCGGUAAUACGGAGGGUGCGAGCGUUAAUCGGAAUUACUGGGCGUAAAGCGCGCGUAGGCGGUUUGUUUAGUGGGAUGUGAAAGCCCCGGGCUUAACCUGGAACUGCAUUCCAAACUGACAAGCUAGAGUACAAGAGAGGGGGGUAGAAUUUCCGGUGUAGCGGUGAAAUGCGUAGAGAUCGGAAGGAAUAUCAGUGGCGAAGGCGGCCCCCUGGCUUGAUACUGACGCUCAGGUGCGAAAGCGUGGGGAGCGAACAGGAUUAGAUACCCUGGUAGUCCACGCUGUAAACGAUGUCGACUAGCCGUUGGGGAGCUUGACUUCUUAGUGGCGCAGUUAACGCGAUAAGUCGACCGCCUGGGGAGUACGGCCGCAAGGUUAAAACUCAAAUGAAUUGACGGGGGCCCGCACAAGCGGUGGAGCAUGUGGUUUAAUUCGAUGCAACGCGAAGAACCUUACCAGGUCUUGACAUCCUGCGAACUUUCUAGAGAUAGAUUGGUGCCUUCGGGAACGCAGUGACAGGUGCUGCAUGGCUGUCGUCAGCUCGUGUCGUGAGAUGUUGGGUUAAGUCCCGUAACGAGCGCAACCCUUGUCCUUAGUUGCCAGCACAUUAUGGUGGGAACUCUAAGGAGACUGCCGGUGACAAACCGGAGGAAGGUGGGGACGACGUCAAGUCAUCAUGGCCCUUACGACCUGGGCUACACACGUGCUACAAUGGCCGGUACAGAGGGCAGCGAAAGGGCGACCUGGAGCCAAUCCCUUAAAGCCGGUCGUAGUCCGGAUUGGAGUCUGCAACUCGACUCCAUGAAGUUGGAAUCGCUAGUAACCGCGAAUCAGAAUGUCGCGGUGAAUACGUUCCCGGGCCUUGUACACACCGCCCGUCACACCAUGGGAGUGGGUUGCAAAAGAAGUGGCUAGUUUAACCUUCGGGGGAACGGUCACCACUUUGUGAUUCAUGACUGGGGUG
Molecule: ribosomal RNA, 1165 nt
Filed under: uncultured Gammaproteobacteria bacterium
Lineage: Bacteria; Pseudomonadati; Pseudomonadota; Gammaproteobacteria
Description: bacterial SSU rRNA
Rfam family: Bacterial small subunit ribosomal RNA
Source: RNAcentral